Molecule: ribosomal RNA, 301 nt
Filed under: uncultured bacterium
Lineage: Bacteria
Description: partial 16S ribosomal RNA
Rfam family: Bacterial small subunit ribosomal RNA
Source: RNAcentral
CAGCAGCCGGGGAAUACGUAGGGUGCAAGCGUUAAUCGGAAUUACUGGGCGUAAAGCGUGCGCAGGCGGUUAUAUAAGACAGAUGUGAAAUCCCCGGGCUCAACCUGGGAACUGCAUUUGUGACUGUAUAGCUAGAGUACGGCAGAGGGGGAUGGAAUUCCGCGUGUAGCAGUGAAAUGCGUAGAUAUGCGGAGGAACACCGAUGGCGAAGUCAAUCCCCUGGGCCUGUACUGACGCUCAUGCACGAAAGCGUGGGGAGCAAACAGGAUUAGAUACCCCAGUAGUCCCUGUCUCUUAUACA